Molecule: ribosomal RNA, 460 nt
Filed under: uncultured bacterium
Lineage: Bacteria
Description: partial 16S ribosomal RNA
Rfam family: Bacterial small subunit ribosomal RNA
Source: RNAcentral
CCUACGGGAGGCAGCAGUGAGGAAUAUUGGUCAAUGGCCGGAAGGCUGAACCAGCCAUGCCGCGUGAAGGUCAGUGCCCUAUGGGCGUUAAACUUCUUUUGUGCGGGAGCAAUAGUGGUCACGUGUGGCCAGACGAGAGUACCGUACGAAUAAGCAUCGGGGAAAUCCGUGCCAGCAGCCGCGGUAAUACGGGGGAUGCAAGCGUUAUCCGGAUUUUUUGGGUUUAAAGGGUGCGUAGGCGGUGAGGUAAGUCAGCGGUGAAAUGCCCCCGCUCAACGGGGUGAAGUGCCAUUGAUACUGCCUGGCUGGAGUGCGGAUGCCGUGGGAGGAAUGUGUGGUGUAGCGGUGAAAUGCAUAGAUAUCACACAGAACACCGAUUGCGAAGGCAUCUCACGAAUCCGCGAUUGACGCUGAUGCACGAAAGCGUGGGUAUCAAACAGGAUUAGAUACCCCUGUAGUC